Urocitellus parryii (Arctic ground squirrel) is the source of this 137-nucleotide small nuclear RNA. Its record names the gene U4. It matches the Rfam family "U4 spliceosomal RNA". Rfam says of the family: U4 small nuclear RNA (U4 snRNA) is a component of the major U2-dependent spliceosome. Lineage: Eukaryota; Metazoa; Chordata; Mammalia; Rodentia; Sciuridae. The record is from Ensembl.
AGCUUUGCGCAAUGGCAGUAUCAUAGCCAAUGAGGUUUAUCCAAGGCACGAUUAUUGCUAAUUCAAACUUUGCAUGUAAUCUGAUGGAGCAUGUUUCAUAAUGUGGCCUGCAGAUUACCUGCAUCUUUAAAAAAAAA